UUCUCCUCUCCUGGAUAGUUGUUCUCAGCUGUGCUGUGCGGUGAUUUAAACAACGCUUUGAUGCUGUGGGAUGUUGGUGCUCACAAAUCAGUUAUAUUUUUACAGCAUGUCUUUAAGAUUGAUAGGCCAGAUGUCAUGAGUACACUGGUGAGAGCACUUACAAGAUCAAGACCUCACUCUAGAUCCAGGAGAUGCUGCUUUCCUGUGGGAUUUAUCCUUUUUCUUAUUAGAAGCUCAACAUCUGUUCUUUGGCGGCUGAAGCAAAAUGUGGCUAAUGG
Molecule: long non-coding RNA, 278 nt
Filed under: Ictidomys tridecemlineatus (thirteen-lined ground squirrel)
Lineage: Eukaryota; Metazoa; Chordata; Mammalia; Rodentia; Sciuridae
Description: lncRNA (ENSSTOG00000031220.1)
Source: RNAcentral